GGGUAACUAGGGGCGAGGAGGCGCGUUAAUACGGAGGGGGCUAGCGUUAUCCGGAGUUACUGGGCGUAAAGGGUGCGUAGGUGGGUUCUGAAGGCAGAGGUGAAAGGCUACGGCUCAACCGUAGUAAGCCUUUGAAACUGGGAAACUUGAGUGCAGGAGAGGAGAGUGGAAUUCCUAGUGUAGCGGUGAAAUGCGUAGAUAUUAGGAGGAACACCAGUUGCGAAGGCGGCUCUCUGGACUGUAACUGACACUGAGGCACGAAAGCGUGGGGAGCAAACAGGAUUAGAUACCCCAGUAGUC
RNAcentral lists this ribosomal RNA (300 nucleotides) under uncultured Sulfophobococcus sp. Its description in RNAcentral is "bacterial SSU rRNA". It matches the Rfam family "Bacterial small subunit ribosomal RNA", at positions 495 to 795 of the family's 1533-position model. The record is from RNAcentral. Lineage: Archaea; Thermoproteati; Thermoproteota; Thermoprotei; Desulfurococcales; Desulfurococcaceae.